CCCGCUGCCGAGCGCCCCAACCCCGUCGCUCGUCUCCCUCCUCGAGCUAGCGCCGCCACCUCUCUCUCCCCAUCCCGCUGCCGAGCGCCCCCGCCCCCUCGCUCCGUCGCUCGUCUUCCUCCUCGUGCGGGCGCCGCCACCAGGUUUUCGAUUCUCUCGCCCCCGGCCCAUCACCUCACGAAUGGACUCCGCCCUUUAGCCCCCCGUUUCAUCUCCCCCAAUUCGUAACUGACGCGCAAAAAUCAAGCUAGGGCGGCUGCCCUACCAGGUCGUGCAUGGAGGCGCGACGGGCCGAGGACCAUGGCGGGCUCCUUCUCCGGCGCGCGCGUGCAGCGGUGAAAUGCUUCCCGCGGCUCCGCCGGACAGUGGACGGGAAAAGUAUAGAGGCGGAGGGGAGGGGCGUCACCAGCGCCGGGCAAACUGACGAGUCGCUGAACCCGCGAGCCUAAGGAGCGGCCUCGGGCGCAGUGAACCCGCGCGUCUAGGCCGAGGACGACGUCAAACGGUGCGGGUCGCGCGGGCCACCAAGGGUGGAGACGUCGUCGCGGGGAUAGUGUGCACACAUCAUUAUCGUCGAACACUUGAUAGCAUAUAUGAAACCCAAGCACGGACUGUUGACCACAGACAGAAGCUACUUUUUGAAGAGCGGAGUGGUGAAAUCAUUGCCAGCACGAAUGCAGUUGAGGAUGAGUUCACCCCACUGUCUCAGUUACCCGUUUUAAAUUAAUGAUGCAAAGUCCAUCUCAUGGAUGUGGAUAUCCUUUAAUCCAAAUAACAGCAAGUCUUUUGGCUUGAUGAUGCACAUUGGAGCACACAGUGGUGAAUGAGAUAAAAGGAGAAGGAGAUGUCGGCUUGAUACCUCUCCACUGUUGCAGAUGUCAUUGGCCAAGUAGUAGAAGUUUGGGCCAUACAAACAGAGUAUGCCAGUCGUCUAAUUGAUCUACAACCAGAGUAUUCCAUUGUCUAAUUGAAGUGAAUAGUAUGCUGUUUACUGCACUAUUUUUAUUUUGCUGGAAGAACAACUUAACGUUAGAGCAUAUUUUGACACCUUUUUCCUGUACCUACCAAUCUUCUCUGCCCAGAAAUAUGGUUGGUAGUUACAAUAUGUGCAAGUUGUUCUUCUUUGCUUUGAAAUAUAGCUCAUGCUUAAAAUCAGCACCCGUAGCGGGUGAUUAUUAUCACUUCCGUCACCACAACUUACUCAGCAGUUUCCUAAACAAACAUGUUCUGCCGGAAAGUACGAAUCCUACUCUACAACUGACUCUGAACUUUAUGUGUUUUUCUGGUUUUAGGAUACAGGCUUUAAACUUAGGUUAAGGGAUUAGCAAAUAAAUGGUUUACCACGUACUUGUAAAGGCGUGGUGCUUUGAUAUUUCUUCUACUGUCUUCUUCUGGUGCUAAAAAAAAAUUAUCCUACUCUUCUUCAAUCUGAAAGUGAUCUUGAUUUUGGAUCCACCAUGUUUUAGGUUUGUCAUGUUGGUACAUCAUUCCACGACUGACAUAUCUUAAUUGUAAAUUUAUGGAACUAAGAGCUUUUUUAUGUACGCAUUGAAUUUGGUUUUCCUCACAUCGAUUGAACUUGCUGAUCUGCAAUGUCUUCUUAAGACCAAUUGGUGAAUUCUUGUGGUUGUGGAAUUAGAGGACGUACUUAUGUUUACACGCUUCUUGGUACCACUCUCAAAUGGAAUUAGAUCAUCUGAGUUGCUUACUUGGGCUCUAUUGAUCUUUGGCUCCACUUUGCUAAUGUGUGUACUGUGUAGAUAUACAAUCAUGCUAGUUGUGUAAUUCAUUCUCUUGAAAUGAAGACACAAAUUGGAGGUUCUUGGUGCAGUUAUUUAAAUUGAUUGUUUACUUAAACAUGUAAAUAAUAGCACAAUUGUUGUAAGUAGCCAGGAAGAUAACAUUUUUGUACACUUGGUAGUUACUGAUUUUUGUAAGCAUCUAAGGAUUAUAUUGUUUGGAUGUAAAGUGUUAUCGUUCCUAGAUUAAAAAA
Brachypodium distachyon (stiff brome) is the source of this 1993-nucleotide long non-coding RNA. RefSeq lists it as uncharacterized. The record is from RefSeq and is a predicted model, not a curated record. Lineage: Eukaryota; Viridiplantae; Streptophyta; Magnoliopsida; Poales; Poaceae. The transcript has 4 exons.